UAUAUUUAUGUGUAUGAUUUAUAUGCUGAUUCCUUUUUUUUCUUCUUCUUUUUCUUCUUCUUCUUUUUCUUCUUUUUUUUUGUGAUACAUUUUUGUUUUGUUGUUGAUCCUAUAUCUCAUUAUCUUGUUCAUUUUAAAAAAAAACGUUAAUACUGUAAAUAUGUUAUAAAGUUAAAAAAUUCCAAAAGUAUACAUUCCCAUAUAAAACACAUCCCAUAAAAAAAAAAAAAAAUAUAUUACACAUAUAUUACACAUAUAUUACACAUAUAUAUAUA
RNAcentral lists this small RNA (275 nucleotides) under Plasmodium falciparum NF54. RNAcentral describes it as "partial Plasmodium RNA of unknown function RUF5". RNAcentral also lists the same sequence under 1 other name. Lineage: Eukaryota; Apicomplexa; Aconoidasida; Haemosporida; Plasmodiidae. The record is from RNAcentral.